Long non-coding RNA from Fukomys damarensis (Damara mole-rat), 1677 nucleotides. RefSeq lists it as uncharacterized. Lineage: Eukaryota; Metazoa; Chordata; Mammalia; Rodentia; Bathyergidae. The record is from RefSeq and is a predicted model, not a curated record. The transcript is spliced from 4 exons.
UCAUUUUGUCAUAUACUAAAAAGGAGGUUUGCGAAUUAUCACUCAAAUUUAAAGUACUUGAUAUAAUUAUCACCAGCAGAAAUGGCAUACUCUAAACAUAUUUUAAACCAAACUUUCCUGUACAAAACUGGCCUGAAAGAAAUAUUUAAUAAGGAGUUUAGAAGGAAGAUUCUGGAAACAAUCACCUUCUUUUCUUGACACAGUCUUCCCCUAACCCCACAUAAGAACCACUCUGGCCUCUCCCCACAAAAACAUCCAAAAGCCUGUCUUAGAACAGGGCUUGACUUCAUAAACAUUAUGGAUAUUGAGUGCCUACCACGAUGUUCAUCAUACUCAAUGAAGGGAAAGUGAGUAAUGUUCAAAAACAUGAAGUGUAGUUUGAUGUUCCUGCAGCAUGUUUUUGUCAACAAUUCAAUAUAUUGUAUAGCGUGUGAUUUUUAAAGAAACACUCCAAAGAAUUUGAGAGAACCGGAAACAGAUGGGUGUUCAUUUCAAUAUGGCAGGGGAACAUUUCCAAUGCAAAAGGACUGCUUCUUUCUACCUCCUCCUGUGUAAACUCUGGCUUGCUGCACCUUAAUUAUUUAACAGCCUCUGCCUGGCAUAAAACCAAAAGAGACUGGCUCAUUAAUACUCCUGGAAAGAAUGUGUGCCUUUAAGAAACGCAUGAAUAUUUCAUUGUCUCUGUCAGUGCUCAGAAGAUGGCACAAUUAUCUAGGAAACCGAAUGGUAAUUUCUAUAUUAGCUUCCCUAAGCUCCUUGUGUGCAUACCCCCAACAAUCAUCUCUGUGAACUCACCUUUGACAGGUGACAUAAAUGCAAAUCAGAAUCUGAAGUAGGACAAUCAUUGAAAGGAAGAAACCUAAAGAAAGAUACUUGCAUUAAACUGGGUAUGCCAGCUCAAUAAAAGCUCAAGAGAGAUGUAUAAAAUUUAUCUUACCAUAAUUUCAUACUGCAUUUGACAACAGUUACAAAAAUCAGAGAGGUAAGUCUGGCCAUGGAUGAUGGCUUACUAGAGGACUGAAAAGAUUUUUAUUUUUUCUCAUUUUUAUUUUCUUUUUAAAGAUGAUACUGGAAAUCAAGAUAACUCUGUGGAGUUGGAGUGCUUACUGCAAUGUUUUCCCACCCUCUCUUUUCACACUCUUCUCUCUACUCUCAAGAGCCAUAUGAUUGGGGCCAUAAGGAAGAGCUGCUUUACUCAAAUAUACCCAAGCAGUGAGCCAAUUUUGAAAAUAGAAACUGGAAGAAAAAAAAAAAAAGAAAGCAAAGUGUGCCAUAUUUCAAAGUAUCCCAGGCCUACAAUGGUUAAUGAAUUAUAAUAUAGACCAUAGGACAUAAUAAUGAUAAAUCUUGCAUUGGUAAAGUAUGUUAAAUUUUCUAAGUAUUUACUCCACUGACAAUGUAUAUUUCUUAUAUUAAAAUUCCUGAAAGAGCCCAGGUAUCAUUUUCCCAUUUUGUAAGUGAGAAAGACAACAUAUGGAGACGUUAAAUGAUUUGCCUUAAACAAUACAUAGCUAUCUGAUGGUAGUCUUGAAUAUAAAAUGCACAGUUUUUAACCAGUUCAGAUCUCUCUAGUGCAAACUGAGCUGUAUUUCUAGGGUAUAUUCUGUUCCUGACAAGUUAAAGACAAUAUUUUUGAGGAAAGACUAACCCUUCAAUUUAAGUAUUAUAAUUUCAAAC